AUACGGAGGGUGCAAGCGUUAAUCGGAAUUACUGGGCGUAAAGCGCUCGUAGGCGGCUUGUUAAGUCGGAUGUGAAAGCCCCGGGCUCAACCUGGGAACUGCAUUCGAUACUGGCAGGCUAGAGUAUAGUAGAGGCAAGUGGAAUUCCGGGUGUAGCGGUGAAAUGCGUAGAUAUCCGGAGGAACAUCAGUGGCGAAGGCGACUUGCUGGACUAAUACUGACGAUGAGGAGCGAAAGCGUGGGGAGCAAACAGGAUUAGAAACCCCAGUAGUCC
RNAcentral lists this ribosomal RNA (274 nucleotides) under uncultured bacterium. RNAcentral describes it as "partial 16S ribosomal RNA". It matches the Rfam family "Bacterial small subunit ribosomal RNA", at positions 523 to 796 of the family's 1533-position model. The record is from RNAcentral.